RNAcentral lists this transfer RNA (357 nucleotides) under uncultured Microcystis sp. RNAcentral describes it as "partial 16S-23S ribosomal RNA intergenic spacer". The stretch from base 132 to 205 matches the Rfam family "tRNA". The record is from RNAcentral. Lineage: Bacteria; Bacillati; Cyanobacteriota; Cyanophyceae; Chroococcales; Microcystaceae.
AGGGAGACCUAAUUCAGGUAUAAGACGAAAAAAAAGUAGUCCCUACCAAGAAUCAAUCCCAAAAGGUCGGAACGAGGUAUGAGGCUUUCAAACUAGGUUCUGGGUUCAUAAAAGACCUGAAUCAGGAACAAGGGCUAUUAGCUCAGGUGGUUAGAGCGCACCCCCGAUAAGGGUGAGGUCCCUGGUUCGAGUCCAGGAUGGCCCACCUGCACAGGUGGCAAAAACAAGAGAAGCGAGGAAUCAGCACCUUAUCUUAUAUACAUAUAUAAGAGAGAAUGCUGGCUCUGAGUACAGAGUCCAGAGGAACCUUGAAAACUGCAUAGAGCUAGGUGAAAAAGCCAAAAAAGAAGACCGCAA